UACGUAGGGUGCGAGCGUUGUCCGGAAUUAUUGGGCGUAAAGGGCUCGUAGGCGGUCUGUCACGUCGAAAGUGAAAACUCAGGGCUCAACCCUGAGCCUGCUUCCGAUACGGGCAGACUAGAGGUAUGCAGGGGAGAAUGGAAUUCCUGGUGUAGCGGUGAAAUGCGCAGAUAUCAGGAGGAACACCAGUGGCGAAGGCGGUUCUCUGGGCAUUACCUGACGCUGAGGAGCGAAAGCGUGGGGAGCAAACAGG
Molecule: ribosomal RNA, 253 nt
Filed under: uncultured bacterium
Lineage: Bacteria
Description: partial 16S ribosomal RNA
Rfam family: Bacterial small subunit ribosomal RNA
Source: RNAcentral